Molecule: long non-coding RNA, 793 nt
Filed under: Homo sapiens (human)
Lineage: Eukaryota; Metazoa; Chordata; Mammalia; Primates; Hominidae
Description: HSALNT0161796
Source: RNAcentral
ACCAAAAUUUCUGUAACUCGUACAUGCAUGUAUAUGUUGUCCUUUUCAGAAAAGCGCAAACACUUCACUGAACUAACUCACCUGAUUGAAUUUCACUUCCUGGUGCAGGCGCAUUGUACCAACCCUCUCUACUUCAGCCUACCAGGAGGGAGGAAGGCCACCGUCUUUCCUUCUCCUUCCAUGUCAUCCUCAGCGUCGGUGCUUGUGCAGUACAGGUAGGUGACAGAGCCGGCAAGGAUGCCCAGGGCUGCUCCUCUGUGUUUCUUAGGAGCCCGCUGCCCCACCGUGCUCAGGCAGGGCAGCACGUGUUGGCCACGCUCACCAGCUGGCUGAGCUCCACCCGGAACCCUGUGCUGGGGCCUUGGGAGGCCUGAUGGGGAUGGGCUCACACUCAUCCACACAUCCCUUCUGCUCAGAGGGCCCAGGGCUUCAUUUAGCACAAGUUCAGACAUGAAACCGUUAAGAAUUCCAGCGUAGCCGCAGCCCAGCACUGAACCCAAUGCCUGCUCCUCUGACUGUCUACCUUGGCUGGUUCCUGUGUCACUGGAAGGAGGAAGGAACCCCUCCCCCGUCACCACGGUUGUUCUGUUUUGGGGCCUGGCACCAUCACCCAACAACUAUUUGCUGAAUAAACGCAUUGUUCACCCACUGAGUAUUUGCUGAGCACCUACUGGCAGGGCGCCCUGAGGGCGCAGAGAUACAGCUGAGGACAGCGCAGCUUCUAACCUUGCCAUCCCCAAGGUGCGCGGAGCCCUCAGGGUGACCCAGCUUGCUGACGAGCAAGCGGAGGCCG